UGUACACCGUAACAGCAAUAUUGUACAAUGACCAGUAUUGCUGUUAUGGUGUGCAAU
This 57-nucleotide microRNA precursor is filed under the name Monodelphis domestica (gray short-tailed opossum). Its description in RNAcentral is "microRNA mdo-mir-12352 precursor". The record is from miRBase by way of RNAcentral. Lineage: Eukaryota; Metazoa; Chordata; Mammalia; Didelphimorphia; Didelphidae.